Non-coding RNA from Callithrix jacchus (white-tufted-ear marmoset), 384 nucleotides. The record is from RefSeq and is a predicted model, not a curated record. Lineage: Eukaryota; Metazoa; Chordata; Mammalia; Primates; Cebidae.
UAAUACUUUGUAUUUGAAUUUUAAAAAGGAAUACAGUUUUUCACAAAACUUAUACCACCAUUCUUGAAUCCCCUCCAGUUUGCCCCCAUGUUGAAAUGAUGUGAAAAAUUGGGGGAGCAUUGGCCUUCAAGUUUGGAACCAAACCCUCUGGUCUUGAUAGCAAAGUUUCAGUCAAUGGAAAAAUUGAAGCAUCCAAUAAAGAAGAGCACUGAGGACCUGGAUUGCACAGAAAUGGAGGCUUGACUCACCCAUAAGGUGAAGAACAGCAUCCAGCCAAGGGGGACAGGGGAGAGGUGGCUGUCGCUGCUCUUUUCCCAGUGGGCCUCCGGGUGGUGAUGCCAGAUGGAAAAGAGGACUCGGAAUUCUCAUGAGCAGAGCUUCUAC